AUGUGAUUGUACAUAUGCAAUCAACAGAUUGAUUGUAAUUCACAUACCCUAUUAGUUUCCUGCUCUGAAAAUUAGUGAGUUGUUAUACAGAUGCACAAAUGCAAAAUUAAAUAUUAAUCUUUACGAAGUUUGAAUAAGAUUAUACAGGAAUUAAUUAGAAAGCAGUCCUCCAUAAAAAGGAAUGUCAGUGUCCGGCAACCAAGUAUCUCCCAUUGUGAAAUUAUGAACUGUAAAAUUCACAGCUUGUGAAACAUUCAUCAGAUUAUAACCUGGCCACUUCACUCGCAUAGUUGUAUUAGCUCCAGGCCCAUAAUUCUUGAACUCCCCAUAAAAUAGUGUGUCUAAUCCAGUAGUCCCAUUCCAUUCAAGCCAUCCAUCGGGAGCAAUUAGAUUGCCGAUGUACGAUUGCAUAUAGACAGUUCUCGAGUACUCCUUCCAAGGUCGACCCAGAUAAUUUAAGGUUGAGUUCAAGUCCAUUGCCAAAUCUGGUGCAGCUUCAAUGGUGCAAUUGUGUAUGGAGAUACCUGUAUUUUGAUUAGCAUCAGUGCGGCCUUGGGCUGUGAAGGCAUUCUUCUGGUUAGGCAAUGGUUUGCGAGCGUACAAAUUGCAACUCUGGAAGACAGCAGCAGAAUUGCCAAAAAUUAAAUCCACAGUUCCAUAUAUGUCGCAUUCCCUGUAGAAUUGUCUCAUGGAGUGGACAUAAAGAGUAUCUUGAUAGCCUUCGAAACUGCAACGAUAAAAUGUGGACAAAUCUGCAUUAUUCCUCACUGCUACUGCUUGGUGCUUUUCCGGACCAGCUGUAUUCCUGAAUGUGAUGUCUACGGCAAUAAAUCGCUCCCCAGAAACAGCGAAGGUUGAGGAAUUAAAAGUUGUCCAGCCAUCCACCACACUAUGGUUUCCUGUGAUGAUAGUUCGAUUAAUUCCAUCUCCAACGAGCAAUAUGUUGUUCUUAUGUUUGGGCACAAUGACAUAUUCUUGGUAGUAUCCUUCUCUUGCAUAGAUUACAAAAUAGCCAUCUUCAGGCUUCGAAUUAUUUGGAGCAAUAGCUACGGCAUCUCCAAUGGAUGUGAAGCUGCCCUCGCCAUAAGGGCUGAUGAUUACUGUGUCGUUUAUGAGAAUCCCAUUGGCCUCCAAAUCAGCAAGAUUGCGUCCUCCACUGGAGCUUUUAGUUUUGCGUAAAGCCUUGAUCAGAGCUUCGAGAGGUUCAUGGAGUCCUCUGUUUGAGAAAACCCUUUGUUCAUGACCACCCUUUUUAUUCUUCUUUUUUUUCUUCAGUGCAUUCGUGACAAGCCCAAGAGAAACGCUGUACAACUUCGUAACAUUGGAAAGAGGACUGUACAAUGAACUCACAAUGCUACUCUUGGACUCCACCAAUUCAUCAAAACAAGUGUGCUGGUUCGUCAAUAUUCCACUCAGAAAACUAUUCACUCUUUCUACCAUCUCAUCCUUCAACACCUCCGCCGAUUUAAACUCUGUCGAUAACGUCUCCAAGUAGUCCACAUUCAGAUCGGUCAGCUCGCGGCAAUCUUCUAAAGCCCCAAUCUCCUCGUGGCUCAGUUUUGAGAGUUGCUUACUGUGGGUCAAGUGGUGGUUUAUCACUUUGGAUAAUCUUUGUGCUUGUUUUAGGCACUGUUUGACUGAAAACUUGCCAUAGUCGUACGGAUUCGAGGGUAACGAGCCAAAGUUUGAUAAGAUCGAACGGCAGAGCUUGGGAUAGAGGGUGGAUUUGCAAGCUAGGGAAGGUGACUGUGGUGGGGACUGGGAGCAGACUAAUGAAGCUGAAGAGAGUAAAAGGAGACCAAAGCAGAGAAAAAAGAAGGAAAGGUUUUGCAUUUUCGAUUUGGUUUAUUACUUCUACAACAGAUAUACAAUUUUUGUAUUAAGCUUGCGUGAAACUUAGGUGGUUUUGCAUUGUUG
This 1917-nucleotide unclassified non-coding RNA is filed under the name Hevea brasiliensis (rubber tree). The record is from RNAcentral. Lineage: Eukaryota; Viridiplantae; Streptophyta; Magnoliopsida; Malpighiales; Euphorbiaceae.